Non-coding RNA from Solanum tuberosum (potato), 64 nucleotides. The record is from RefSeq and is marked provisional. Lineage: Eukaryota; Viridiplantae; Streptophyta; Magnoliopsida; Solanales; Solanaceae.
AACGGAAAAGGGCCAAAAAUACCCUUUUCGAAUAAUCCAGGGUGUUUUUAGCCCUUUUCCGUAU